AACAAAAGAAAAUACUACAAGACGCCUGCCUGAUACAUACGAGUCUUUGAAAACACGAUUUAUCGGAAAUUUUCGAUCGAUCUGGUAAAAAGUUCUGAUACAAUUAAUAAGGUAGGUUACAGAUUUCCAUCAGUUCGUUAGGAAUUAAAUCGAAGAGGCAAGUGGAUAACCGUUAUAAACAAAAAAAAGUAACUAACAUAACCUUAUCGAUGGUUCGCCAUUGUCUCUUAAACCAUGGCAUACUUUAUGCAGUGUACAUUUUAUCGGUGGCAAAAAAUCAGAUGACGAAAACAGUCUUAGUUACGUCCCACAAAGUUUCAUGGCACGCAAAAAGAUAAAACUUGAAGUUACCAUACUAGAGCCAAAAAUACAGAUAAUUGAAAAUGUUAAUGAAACAAAUUCAGAUGAAUCUUUACUGGUCGAUGAAGAAUACAAAGUAAAUGUGCCAUUCGAUAUUAAAUAUAUAGAAUCCACAUUUACUUAUUAUAGAUAUAUUGAUAAUAAUUACUGCGAUGCUGGAAUCAAAGUGGAACUACCAACAAAUCCAAAUAAUGUAGUAAAUAGUACUUGCCAAAUAAAGGAUCUGUGUUGCGAUGAAGAAACGAAAAA
RNAcentral lists this long non-coding RNA (609 nucleotides) under Polistes fuscatus (common paper wasp). RNAcentral describes it as "uncharacterized LOC122526737". Lineage: Eukaryota; Metazoa; Arthropoda; Insecta; Hymenoptera; Vespidae. The record is from RNAcentral.